RNAcentral lists this ribosomal RNA (466 nucleotides) under uncultured bacterium. RNAcentral describes it as "partial 16S ribosomal RNA". It matches the Rfam family "Bacterial small subunit ribosomal RNA", at positions 28 to 507 of the family's 1533-position model. The record is from RNAcentral.
GACGAACGCUGGCGGCGUGCUUAACACAUGCAAGUCGAACGAUUAAGCCCAGCUUGCGGGGUGGAUUAGUGGCGAACGGGUGAGUAACACGUGAGUAACCUGCCCUUGACUCUGGGAUAAGCCUGGGAAACUGGGUCUAAUACUGGAUAUGACUUCUCAUUGCAUGGUGGGGGGUGGAAAGAUUUAUUGGUCUUGGAUGGACUCGCGGCCUAUCAGCUUGUUGGUGAGGUAAUGGCUCACCAAGGCGACGACGGGUAGCCGGCCUGAGAGGGUGACCGGCCACACUGGGACUGAGACACGGCCCAGACUCCUACGGGAGGCAGCAGUGGGGAAUAUUGCACAAUGGGCGCAAGCCUGAUGCAGCGACGCCGCGUGAGGGAUGACGGCCUCCGGGUUGUAAACCUCUUUCAGUAGGGAAGAAGCGAGAGUGACGGUACCUGCAGAAGAAGCGCCGGCUAACUACGUG